RNAcentral lists this long non-coding RNA (465 nucleotides) under Scophthalmus maximus (turbot). RNAcentral's name for it is "lncRNA (ENSSMAG00000029580.1)". Lineage: Eukaryota; Metazoa; Chordata; Actinopteri; Pleuronectiformes; Scophthalmidae. The record is from RNAcentral.
AACCCAGCAGGAGAUUGUCCAAGUCGUACGCAUCCACAACGGCUAGGAGCCACAUUCUCCUGCUGUAUUCUCACAUGGGCUCACUCUGAUAUUUUCUGGAGUCUUAUUUCUAGGGGGCUGGCAGGAAACGUUCUGGGAGAUGUCCAGACGGCAGUGCAGUGUCUGAAAGCAGCUUCUGGCGAUUGCUGGCGAGCCUGUGACACAGUGGGGCACAACACAACUGUCAAGUUGUAUUCCAUCAUUGCGCCCAUCAUCACCGUGAUGGAUCAUCCCACGGUGCAAUGCACCCAACCGUCGGCAUCUGCUCUCAAACGGCGAGCUGAGACUGUGCCGUGCGCGGAGCGGAUUGGCCCAAGGGUCCGUCAGAAAAUGAAUAUUGACACGGCCACGGGAAAUGGAAGAAGUGAAAUUCGCAGUGAAUUAAAAGGAGAACAGUAUAGGCCUCAAACUAAAGUUCUUAUUUGA